UGAGGUUGUUUCUGAUGGAGGACUUAAUUUCAGGCUCCUCAUUGCCAGCCCAGAGAACUCAUCUGGUCAAAGUGUGUUCUUGGGAGCGGAAAUGGUCCCUUUUAGUGGGCAGCUGUGGAAGUGCAUAAGGAUGGACUACGUGGGCCACUUUAAUCUGAAUCUCAUUAAUAACCCCGGGAAAUCUGUACUGAACUUCUUCCACCAUCGUCCUUCCAGCUUCCCAGAAUGGGUGCAAAUGUCACUAGCAAUAUUCAUUUUAUGUCAUUCAAAAGUCUUACUUUAAAUAUUACUUCUGAAAUUUACUAUGAAAUAAUGUAUGGCUUGUGUUUAGAAAAUAUAACCUAUUAAAACCAACAUAACUUUGGAUAUACAA
Molecule: long non-coding RNA, 373 nt
Organism: Hyaena hyaena (striped hyena)
Lineage: Eukaryota; Metazoa; Chordata; Mammalia; Carnivora; Hyaenidae
Exons: 2
Source: RefSeq, a predicted model, not a curated record